This 89-nucleotide transfer RNA is filed under the name Enterocloster clostridioformis. Its description in RNAcentral is "[Clostridium] clostridioforme tRNA-Ser(gct)". It matches the Rfam family "tRNA". Rfam says of the family: Transfer RNA (tRNA) molecules are approximately 80 nucleotides in length. Their secondary structure includes four short double-helical elements and three loops (D, anti-codon, and T loops). Further hydrogen bonds mediate the characteristic L-shaped molecular structure. tRNAs have two regions of fundamental functional importance: the anti-codon, which is responsible for specific mRNA codon recognition, and the 3' end, to which the tRNAs corresponding amino acid is attached (by aminoacyl-tRNA synthetases). tRNAs cope with the degeneracy of the genetic code in two manners: having more than one tRNA (with a specific anti-codon) for a particular amino acid; and 'wobble' base-pairing, i.e. permitting non-standard base-pairing at the 3rd anti-codon position. RNAcentral also lists the same sequence under 1 other name. Lineage: Bacteria; Bacillati; Bacillota; Clostridia; Lachnospirales; Lachnospiraceae. The record is from RNAcentral.
GCAGGCGUGGCAGAGAGGCUUAAUGCGGCUCCCCGCUAAGGAGUUUGUCGGCUUUUCCGGCACGAAGGUUCGAAUCCUUCCGUCUGCGC